AGAGUUUGAUCAUGGCUCAGGAUGAACGCUGGCGAGAUGCCUUACACAUGCAAGUCAUACGAGAAUUUUUAAUUCAAGUGGCGGACGGGUGAGUAACACGUAAGAAUUUGCCUUUAGGAGGGGGACAACAACUGGAAACGGUUGCUAAUACCCCAUAUGCUUUCGAGUGAAAUGGUUUUUCCGCCUAAAGAGAAGCUUGCGGCUGAUUAGCUUGUUGGUAAGGUAAUGGCUUACCAAGGCGACGAUCAGUAUCUGGUUUGAGAGGACGAUCAGACACACUGGAACUGAGACACGGUCCAGACUCCUACGGGAGGCAGCAGUGGGGAAUUUUCCGCAAUGGGCGAAAGCCUGACGGAGCAAUACCGCGUGAGGGAAGACUGCCUAUGGGUUGUAAACCUCUUUUUUCAGGGAGGAAUAAAAUGACGUGUACCUGAAGAAUAAGCAUCGGCUAACUCCGUGCCAGCAGCCGCGGUAAGACGGAGGAUGCAAGUGUUAUCCGGAAUCACUGGGCGUAAAGCGUCUGUAGGUGGUUUAAUAAGUCAACUGUUAAAUCUUGAGGCUCAACUUCAAAAUCGCAGUCGAAACUAUUAGACUAGAGUAUAGUAGGGGUAAAGGGAAUUUCCAGUGGAGCGGUGAAAUGCGUAGAUAUUGGAAAGAACACCGAUGGCGAAAGCACUUUACUGGGCUAUUACUAACACUC
This 700-nucleotide ribosomal RNA is filed under the name uncultured bacterium. RNAcentral describes it as "bacterial SSU rRNA". It matches the Rfam family "Bacterial small subunit ribosomal RNA", at positions 8 to 748 of the family's 1533-position model. The record is from RNAcentral.